Molecule: long non-coding RNA, 2044 nt
Organism: Sus scrofa (pig)
Lineage: Eukaryota; Metazoa; Chordata; Mammalia; Artiodactyla; Suidae
Source: RefSeq, a predicted model, not a curated record
UUCCUCCUUCCGGGUGCUGGCAGGCCGUGCACCCCCAGGCUCCUGCUUCGCCACCCUGCCUCCGCCCCCACCACUCCACAUCCUCCCAGCAUCUCCGACAGUGCUGGCCCAGGGAUUAGCAGUAGGGUCAGGGCUCCCCAGGAGCAAGGCCCACGGCUCUCCUGGCUCCAUGGACAAGGGUGCAUGUGCAAAAACAUCAAGAAGGGAGUUCCCACUGUGGCUCAACGAGAUCAGCAGCAUCUCUGCAGCACCAGGACAUAGGUUUCAUCCCCAGCCCGGCACACCUCACCACACUGAUCUGGAGUCUGGCGCCCCCACUAGACUGUGAGUGCAUUGAGGUGGGAACCAGAGCUGUGCUGGCCUUGCCCAGUGCCGGAGAACCGUGCUUGCUGGGCCUGGAGCUACAGCCUGCAGUGGCCCCCGCAGGACCCGUGCCUCCAUCUCCACCGCUGUGUCCCCGGAGCCACAGAGAUGACUCUCAGCAAACAGCCGCUGGAUACCAGAUACUGAUGUGACCGUGGGGGUCCUGGGAGAAAGCAGAACCCCUGAACGUCCGAGUGUGCUUGAAUAACUAGGUGAGGACCUGCACACACACGAUGCAAUGCUCAGAAGGGACAGGCAGCUUCAUCUUAGGAGAGGUCACUGAGAUUAAAAAUCCAUCUUUGGGAGUUCCCGUCGUGGCUCAGCGGAAACCAAAAUGACUAGGAGCCAUGAGGUGGCGGGUUCGAUCCCUGGCCUCCCUCAGUAGGUUAAGGAUCCAGCGUUGCUGUGAUCUGUGGUGUAGGUUGUAAACAUAGCUCAGAUCGGGCGUUGCUGUGGCUGUGGAGUAGGCCCUAGCCUGGGAACUUCCAUAUGCCCUAAAAACAAACAAACGAACAAACAAAAACCAUAUUAGAUGAAGCUGAAGGUGUGGCCCACGUGGACCUGUUCAGAGCAGGAACCAGGAAUAAAUAGGCUGUUGUCCUUGGGCAACAGGAUGGGUGUCAGAGCCUGGAAGGUUAGAGAGACUUGGGCAGGGGUAGGGAAGGGAGGGGUGUCCCAGUGAACCUGCUGGGAGAUGCUGAGGAGGCAGGAGUUUGGAGGACCUGCCCACUAAGGAAGGACGUGAAGACCAAAACUGCAGGGGCAGAGCUGGGGGAUAUGAGGCCACCACACAAGGAGCCAGGACAGCUUGUAUGUGCCCUGCAAGGCUGAAGGGAACAGCAGGGGAGUGACACUGUCUUUUGGUAGGCCAUGGAGUCUCAAAGUUUCCUCUCCUCAGAGGCAGUCCCCUCACGUGGCCCACAUUGCUUGUCGUCUACCCGGUAUCAGAAUCCCUGACUUUUUAGUUAGACACAUGGCAGCCUGGAAUAAAGUCAAUAUUUCCCAGCCUCUCUUACAGCUAUUAUGACCAGGUGACUAAGUUCUGGUCAAUGAAAUUUAAGUAAAAAUGAUACAUGGAAGCUUCUGGAAAACCUUCUUAAGAGCCAGCUGUUAGGGGCCUUUUAUCUCCUGUUCCCUAUUUCCUCCUUCCUGCUGGCUGGACUUUGACUGUGAUGGCUGGAACUCCAGCAGCCACAUUGGAUUAUGAGGUAGAAGUCACUUGUUUUAAAAUGGCAGAAUGGCAAGAUAAAAGGAACGUGGGUUGUUGGAGUUCCUUUGUGGCUCAGCAGGUUAAGAACCUGACAUCGUCUCCAUGAGGAUGCAGGUUUGAUCCCUGGCCUCAUUCAGUGGGUUAAGGAUCGGGUGUUGCUGCAAGCCGUGGGGUAGGUCACAGAUGUGGCUCUGAACUGGUAUUGCUGUGGCUUUGGCCAGCAGCUACAGCUCUGAUUGAAGCCCUAGCCUGGGAACUUCCCUAUGCCCAGAUGCAGCUAUAAAAAAUAAAUACAUAAGUAAAAAUAAAAAUAAAAAGAUAAUCAUGGAGCUGCCAUACUAGCCCUAGGUUAUCAGUCUUCCUUACUGCACAUCUGUGAACUAAGCCUCUAUGUUAAGUCACUGGUAUUUACAUCACUCUCAAGAAGUCAAAGUCUUUUUUUUUUUUUUUUUUUUGUCUUUUUGUCUUUUU